This 127-nucleotide small RNA is filed under the name Marmota monax (woodchuck). The record is from RNAcentral. Lineage: Eukaryota; Metazoa; Chordata; Mammalia; Rodentia; Sciuridae.
GCCAGGCGUGGUAGCUCACGCCUGUAAUCCCAGCAGCUGGGGAGGCUGAGGCUGGAGGAUCACAGGUUCAAGGCCAGCCUCAGCAACUUAGUGAGACUGUAAGCAACCUAGAGAGACCCUGUCUCUU